AACGAACGCUGGCGGCAUGCCUAACACAUGCCAGUCGAACGAGCCCUUCGGGUCUUGUGGCGCACGGGUGCGUAACGGGCGGGAACCUGCCCCUAGGUUAGGCAUCCUUCACCGCUAGGGGUGCUCAUACAGGCCAAUGCUUUCGGCGCAAAGCUUUAUCGCCUUUGGAUGGGCACGCGUUGGAUUAGCUGGUUGGUAGGGUAAAAGCCUACCAACGCGACGAUCCAUAGCUGGUCUGAGAGGAAGGGCAGCCACACUGGGGCUGCGACACGGCCCAGACUCCUACGGAAUGCAGCAGAGUGGAAUGUAGGACCAUGGGGGAAAGCCUGAUCCAGCAAUGCCGCGUAAAUGAUGAAGGCCUGGGGGUUGUAAAGCUCUUUUACCCGGGAUGAUAAUGACAGUACCGUGAGAAUAAGCUCCGGCUAACUCCGUG
This 433-nucleotide ribosomal RNA is filed under the name uncultured bacterium. RNAcentral describes it as "partial 16S ribosomal RNA". It matches the Rfam family "Bacterial small subunit ribosomal RNA", at positions 29 to 507 of the family's 1533-position model. The record is from RNAcentral.